GCCCGGCUAGCUCAGUCGGUAGAGCGUGUGACUCUUAACCUUCCUUAACCGGAUAAGGGUUUAUCACAAUGUCGCGGGUUCGAGCCCCGCGUUGGGCU
This is a non-coding RNA of Aspergillus nanangensis, 98 nucleotides long. The record is from the annotation of a GenBank genome assembly. NCBI's taxonomy places the organism in Eukaryota, Fungi, Ascomycota, Eurotiomycetes, Eurotiales, Aspergillaceae.